Molecule: ribosomal RNA, 253 nt
Filed under: uncultured bacterium
Lineage: Bacteria
Description: partial 16S ribosomal RNA
Rfam family: Bacterial small subunit ribosomal RNA
Source: RNAcentral
UACGUAGGGGGCGAGCGUUGUCCGGAUUUAUUGGGCGUAAAGAGCGUGUAGGCGGCCAGGUAGGUCUGCUGUGAAAACUCGAGGCUUAACCUCGAGAUGUCGGCGGAAACCAUCUGGCUAGAGUCCGGAAGAGGAGAGUGGAAUUCCUGGUGUAGCGGUGAAAUGCGCAGAUAUCAGGAAGAACACCCGUGGCUAAGGCGGCUCUCUAGUACGGUACUGACGCUGAGACGCGAAAGCGUGGGGAGCGAACAGG